This 253-nucleotide ribosomal RNA is filed under the name uncultured bacterium. RNAcentral's name for it is "partial 16S ribosomal RNA". It matches the Rfam family "Bacterial small subunit ribosomal RNA", at positions 524 to 776 of the family's 1533-position model. The record is from RNAcentral.
GACAGAGGGUGCAAACGUUGUUCGGAAUUACUGGGCGUAAAGCGCGUGUAGGCUGCUUCGCAAGUCGGAUGUGAAAGCCCUGGGCUCAACCCAGGAAGUGCAUUCGAAACUGCAGAGCUGGAGUCCUGGAGAGGAAGGCGGAAUUCUCGGUGUAGAGGUGAAAUUCGUAGAUAUCGAGAGGAACACCGGUGGCGAAGGCGGCCUUCUGGACGGUGACUGACGCUGAGACGCGAAAGCGUGGGGAGCAAACAGG